AAGCAUCCUCUUUCCUGGCAGCCUCCCCGCUUCUGAUCUUCUUCCAGAUCUACUAUUCGGAGCUAUUGGAUGUGCUGGGUAAUUGGAUAAUAUCCUACAGCCGUGUGGGUGCAGGUGUGAGGUCUGGCCAGAGCAUUUCAGACCAGACUGCCUUACCAUUGGGUUCACUUUCCCUUGGGAUCAUCUUUUUCCUCGGGGAUCAGCUCAGUGUCAGCAAGUGCUCGCUGCCUCAUCUCAUGUGGUGUCCCAGGAAGACAACAACACCAGCCAUAAGAUAAUGUGCUACUGAACAGGAUUGAAACGACGGGCAUCCAACUCACAAGAAUGGAAGGGGGAAAAAAAAAGCCUACACACACACACAAAAACCAACCCACCCUGAAAGUCUUCAGGCCCUUUUGUGCCACAUUUCAGAUUACGCAAAGAAAAAAAAGCCCUCAUGCAUGAGACAAUAGCUACGAUGAAUUAAGCACAAGCUGUUUGGUCGAAAAGUGAGAGCCUCCCAUGCCCAGGGAAGGCUGUGCAGAGGUUGCGACACUCGCAGGGCGCUGUGCUGAAUUCAGCAGCCUGUUCAGUUUCUGCAUUAGUUGUGAAAUCACCUCUUUUGUGUUCAGGGAGGCACUUUGUGAUGGCCGUUGCGGCACAGCUGCGGGACCUGAUGGGGAGCGAUGGCCAUAUGGUGCUGGGCACAGCCCUUACCCAGGCAGCAGCAAGGAGUGGGGCUGUGCUCCCUUGCCCUGCUUGCGCACCAGUUGAUGUGAAACCAAGGAUGUGGAGCCUGUUUCUGGAUUUGCAUGCAGCCCUGUGCUCGUGCAUCAUCUCAGCCUGCCUGCAGGUUUUCCAUGAUGCAUCGUUAUUUUGGCAGUUUUGUUUGAUCCCCUCAUGUCAAGCACUAGGUUUGCAGAAAUGAAGGGGAAACGGCCCCUAUCUGUGGUGCUGUGUCCAUGAGAGGUGUUAGGAAAAAAGAAAACUGCAUUUGUUGUGUUAAGCUGCAGCUCCAGGAACUGGGGGCUCUUGGAGAAGCAAAGCAGACCGCAGAAGUUAGAGGCUCUGCCUGAGGACCGCGUGCUUUUAAUUUGCGCUCAGCCCUACCAGAAAUACCUGGCACUGUCUAAAACCAAAGCCAGAGCCUCAGCCUUUCGCUUUUCCCUGCCCAAACCCUGCCAGAUACUGUUACUACAGUACAUUAUUAAAUACCCUGUUAU
Molecule: long non-coding RNA, 1202 nt
Filed under: Gallus gallus (chicken)
Lineage: Eukaryota; Metazoa; Chordata; Aves; Galliformes; Phasianidae
Description: lncRNA (ENSGALG00010014413.1)
Source: RNAcentral